This 65-nucleotide transfer RNA is filed under the name Cavia porcellus (domestic guinea pig). It matches the Rfam family "tRNA". Rfam says of the family: Transfer RNA (tRNA) molecules are approximately 80 nucleotides in length. Their secondary structure includes four short double-helical elements and three loops (D, anti-codon, and T loops). Further hydrogen bonds mediate the characteristic L-shaped molecular structure. tRNAs have two regions of fundamental functional importance: the anti-codon, which is responsible for specific mRNA codon recognition, and the 3' end, to which the tRNAs corresponding amino acid is attached (by aminoacyl-tRNA synthetases). tRNAs cope with the degeneracy of the genetic code in two manners: having more than one tRNA (with a specific anti-codon) for a particular amino acid; and 'wobble' base-pairing, i.e. permitting non-standard base-pairing at the 3rd anti-codon position. Lineage: Eukaryota; Metazoa; Chordata; Mammalia; Rodentia; Caviidae. The record is from Rfam by way of RNAcentral.
GAUAUAGCUUACUGGGAUGGUGCUUGCCUGGAAAGUGUGAGGUCCUGGGUUUGAUUCCCAGUAUC